GCUGUUUCUCUCAAAGAUUGCAGCUCACCUGGGAAUGAAGACCAAGAAGCUGUUUAACGUGAAAGCCGUGCAGCUUUUCAACUACAGAGAGGAGUAAGAGCUGAGCGGCAUCUUUACAGGGGUUCCAGGGCCCGAAGGCAAAUCAAACCUUUUGCUCCCUCCAAAAUGUCAUACAUGACUGGAUUUUUAUUGCAAGAAUUAUCAAAGGCUACAUCACUGGCACAAGGCUUAAGAGAGACAGAGCAGGAGCAAGGGAGGGGCUGAGAGACAGGGAGACACAGAA
Herpailurus yagouaroundi (jaguarundi) is the source of this 283-nucleotide long non-coding RNA. RefSeq lists it as uncharacterized. NCBI's taxonomy places the organism in Eukaryota, Metazoa, Chordata, Mammalia, Carnivora, Felidae. The transcript is spliced from 3 exons. The record is from RefSeq and is a predicted model, not a curated record.